GCCGGGGUGGCGGAACUGGUAGACGCGCCAUCUUGAGGGGGUGGUGAGCGCAAGCUUGUAAGGGUUCAAAUCCCUUCCCCGGCACCA
RNAcentral lists this transfer RNA (87 nucleotides) under Dehalococcoidales bacterium. RNAcentral's name for it is "tRNA-Leu". It matches the Rfam family "tRNA". Rfam says of the family: Transfer RNA (tRNA) molecules are approximately 80 nucleotides in length. Their secondary structure includes four short double-helical elements and three loops (D, anti-codon, and T loops). Lineage: Bacteria; Bacillati; Chloroflexota; Dehalococcoidia; Dehalococcoidales. The record is from RNAcentral.